UACGGAGGGAGCUAGCGUUGUUCGGAAUUACUGGGCGUAAAGCGCACGUGGGCGGCUUUGUAAGUUAGAGGUGAAAGCCCGGGGCUCAACUCCGGAACUGCCUUUAAGACUGCAUCGCUUGAAUCCAGGAGAGGUGAGUGGAAUUCCGAGUGUAGAGGUGAAAUUCGUAGAUAUUCGGAAGAACACCAGUGGCGAAGGCGGCUCACUGGACUGGUAUUGACGCUGAGGUGCGAAAGCGUGGGGAGCAAACAGG
This 253-nucleotide ribosomal RNA is filed under the name uncultured bacterium. RNAcentral's name for it is "partial 16S ribosomal RNA". It matches the Rfam family "Bacterial small subunit ribosomal RNA", at positions 524 to 776 of the family's 1533-position model. The record is from RNAcentral.